Molecule: ribosomal RNA, 253 nt
Filed under: uncultured bacterium
Lineage: Bacteria
Description: partial 16S ribosomal RNA
Rfam family: Archaeal small subunit ribosomal RNA
Source: RNAcentral
UACCCGCAGCACAAGUGGUGGUCAUUAUUAUUGGGCCUAAAGCGUCCGUAGCUGGCCUGUUAGAUGCCUGGGUAAAUCGAUGCGCUUAACGUAUCGAACUCCGGGUAGACCGGCAGGCUCGAGACCGGGAGAGGCAUGGGCUACUCGCGGGGUAGGGGUAAAAUCCUGUAAUCCUGCGGGGAGGACCAGUGGCGAAGGCGCCAUGCUAGAACGGCUCUGACAGUGAGGGACGAAGCCCUGGGGCGCAAACCGG